UCGCAAUCUCUCAUCAUCAUCCAAUAUUUUGUACAUGAAAUGUUAAUGUUACAUGAUUUCCACGUACAUAGGUCACCUAGAGGAGGAAUAAAUGAAAGACUUAUUUUUCGGUACAUCAUUCACACAUGACUAAGUCAGUGAGAAUUAACCAGAGAUGAGCACUAAACACAAACAAAGAACUAUAAUCUUAUUCAUUUGAAUAGUUACCUAAAUGCUUGCCUUCUUUCCCUUGAGAUUGAUCGCCGAAAGCUCCUGUUCGACGAACUCUCCUGCCAAGAUCGGAGGGUACUUGACGGCCUCCGGUGAUUCCGCAAAGCCGCCCAGG
Molecule: unclassified non-coding RNA, 325 nt
Filed under: Hevea brasiliensis (rubber tree)
Lineage: Eukaryota; Viridiplantae; Streptophyta; Magnoliopsida; Malpighiales; Euphorbiaceae
Source: RNAcentral